AUUGAACGCUGGCGGCAGGCCUAACACAUGCAAGUCGAACGAGUGGCGGACGGGUGAGUAAUGUCUGGGAAACUGCCUGAUGGAGGGGGAUAACUACUGGAAACGGUAGCUAAUACCGCAUACCAUCAGAUGUGCCCAGGUGGGAUUGGCUUGUUGGUGGGGUAACGGCUUACCAAGGCGACGAUCCCUAGCUGGUCUGAGAGGAUGACCAGUCACACUGGAACUGAGACACGGUCCAGACUCCUACGGGAGGCAGCAGUGGGGAAUAUUGGACAAUGGGCGAAAGCCUGAUGCAGCCAUGCCGCGUGUAUGAAGAAGGCCUUCGGGUUGUAAAGUACUUUCAGUGGGGAGGCGUUACCCGCAGAAGAAGCACCGGCUAACUUCGUGCCAGCAGCCGCGGUAAUUC
Molecule: ribosomal RNA, 406 nt
Filed under: uncultured bacterium
Lineage: Bacteria
Description: partial 16S ribosomal RNA
Rfam family: Bacterial small subunit ribosomal RNA
Source: RNAcentral